GCCAGCAGCCAUAUCACCCUGCAACUCACAACUUGCAACCCACUAAAGCUCAGCAGUCGUGAGCCUGGCCAGUACCUGGAUGGGAGACCUCCUGGGAAAAACUAAGGUUGCUGCUGGAA
Ribosomal RNA from Lepisosteus oculatus (spotted gar), 119 nucleotides. The record is from Rfam. NCBI's taxonomy places the organism in Eukaryota, Metazoa, Chordata, Actinopteri, Semionotiformes, Lepisosteidae.